Long non-coding RNA from Alligator mississippiensis (American alligator), 2136 nucleotides. RefSeq lists it as uncharacterized. The record is from RefSeq and is a predicted model, not a curated record. The transcript has 2 exons. NCBI's taxonomy places the organism in Eukaryota, Metazoa, Chordata, Crocodylia, Alligatoridae.
ACUGCUGUUCAGGGUGGCUCCUCAGUUUGUUGUUUUUUGAGAGCUAAUCUGAAGCUGUCUCCAUUCUGAAUAAAGCUGUUGCGAGCAAUGUGUGCUGGUGUUUGCUCCCUGCUUGGUCUGGCUAAUGAGUAACAGGAUCCAUGGGCAGUUAGACCGUCGUCUCCCUAGUUGUUGGGCAUCACAUGAAGUCGGGGUCUAACACUAAGCAACUGGCUUAAUGUUAUGGAAUGGGUCAGUGGCCAGGUAGGAAAUGAAAUCCAGACAUUUGGAGUUUCAUUCCAGUGUCUUAUCCAAUGGACCAUGCUACCUCUAUAUUUCUUCAUACCAGGAAUGAAACUGGGAAGAAUCUUUACUGUCAUUCUGCUGCUUUCUUGAAGCAGAAGUUCUGAUGCUUUCUACAUAUCCAACAAAGCAUCCACUACUUUAUUUUAUACUGGAUAAUAUGAAGAUUCCUUAGACCAAGAGAUGGCAACCUAUGACCGUGGAGCCACUGGGUGCAGCCUGUGGAACUGGAGCUUUGACAGCAUUCAGUGGCAAAAGAUGGGGGUAAAGUGGACGGGGGCUGGGACCCACGGAAAACCCACCUAGGACCCCAGCUGAGUCAUUCUGGCCUGCCACUGGAUAUUGGCGUUAGACAAUGUGUGCAUGUAUUCCAAACAGCAUAGCUAGUUUAAUUACAAAAUAUGAAUUCCAUGACAAUUCUCACUAAAAAUACUCUUGUAGGAGAAGUUUCUAAAACCAUGUAAAUAUGUACAACAAGCCAUCACUGAAAGAAAAGAGAAUUGGCAAGAUUUCUUGUUGCUAUUCUAGUGCUAGGCUUUUAUAAUGGAGUAAGUUUUAGUUAAUUAGAAGCCUGUGAACACUUUCUUAUUCUUAUGCAGUCUUCUAAUUCACCUUAUUGACUGUAAGUGUCAGAACUUGUGUGUGCGUAUGUAUGAUUUAUUUUACACGGUGGGUUUUUCCCUUGGAAAAAAUGCUAUUCUCUUUUUCCUGUCUACUGUGGAAUGAAGACAUUAUGGAUAUCUGUGCUGCAUACGGUUCAUGUGCAUGUGCUGCAUUAAAGUGGCAAAAAGUAUUUAAGUUCAUUCUCUGAAUAUCUACAUUAUUCAGCUAUUACUGAGUAUUAGUUGGGAAUCAAAACUCCAGUAUUCUGAGUAAGUGUAUCAAGAGCUGCAGGAAAGAAUACCGUAAUAAUGCUGAGAACUGUGUUUGUAUUCAUGAAGACACACCCCCUUGCCCCAAUUCUCAGUGUGUGAAAUGAAAAAGGAAUUCUGGCACAAGGCAAAUGCAAUGGAUAAUGCAGCUCCUUGCUCUGCAAGCCACUUGUGGCCAGUGGAACCAUUACGAUGCUGCUCAGUGAAACAAACCUGCAGACACAUCUGAGAAGCCCAGAUAAGGGAUAUACUCACCGCGUGGACCUGUGUUUUCUAACAGUGGCUUGUACCUCUCACAAAAAGGACACAAGGAGAUGGAUUCUGCAAGAGUAUUCAGGACUAUACUAGGUCCUUCUCUCUCACCCCCUCCCUCCCAAACACGCUGUCCCUGCUUGUGGAAGGACAUGGGUGUUAUACAAAUAGACUUUUUGCCUAUUGCUUUUAAUUUUAUGUAUUUUCUUGAGUUUUGCAUUGCCUUAAGAAAUUCCAUUUUGUAUUGCGCUGUAGCUUGACAUAAGUGUUUGACCUUUUUAUUCUUUUGUAUCCCGUAUGGGUGAGAGUGUGUUUGUGGAAAAUGAAAACAUCAGCUGGUGACUGGCUGAAGAAUGCAGACAGAUAAAAGACCAAAAACAGGAAGAAUCUGCCUCAGAACAGAAAGAGAACAUUGGCAAUUGCCAUUCAAGGAAGAACACAGUGAUAAUAUAGCAAAAGCCCAGAGGACUGGGUGAAUUGACAAGGCUAUAACAGAUGAGGCAAGACAUACUGAUUUUGGGUCUUGUUCUGCAUGUCAUCCUUGCAGCACUCUGACAAGAUGGACCACAAGGAGUCCGGAUCCUACUCGUGAUCAACUUGGCUGGCCACUAAGUUAAUCUGAGCACCAAUAAAACUGGUAACAUAUACCAGCGCAGAACAAAAAUCGGGGUAUGAAUGUGGGGUGUGUGUAUAUUAAGCGCUUAAUCAAUACAUGCAGCAUCUUCCCUUA